GAUUAGAUACCCUGGUAGUCACGCUGUAAACGAUGUCGAUUUGGAGUUUGUUGCCUAGAGUGAUGGGCUCCGAAGCUAACGCGAUAAAUCGACCGCUGGGGAGUACGGCCGCAAGGUUAAAACUCAAAUGAAUUGACGGGGGCCCGCACAAGCGGUGGAGCGUGUGGUUUAAUUCGAUGCAACGCGAAGAACCUUACCUGGUCUUGACAUCCAUAGAAUUCUGCAGAGAUGUGGGAGUGCCUUCGGGAACUAUGAGACAGGUGCUGCAUGGCUGUCGUCAGCUCGUGUUGUGAAAUGUUGGGUUAAGUCCCGCGACGAGCGCAACCCUUAUUCUUUGUUGCCAGCGAUUUGGUCGGGAACUCAAAGGAGACUGCCGUUGAUAAAGCGGAGGAAGGUGGGGACGACGUCAAGUCAUCAUGGCCCUUACGACCAGGGCUACACACGUGCUACAAUGGCGUAUACAAAGGGAAGCGAAGGUGCGAGCUGGAGCGGAUCUCAUAAAGUACGUCUAAGUUCGGAUUGGAGUCUGCAACUCGACUCCAUGAAGUCGGAAUCGCUAGUAAUCGUAGAUCAGAAUGCUACGGUGAAUACGUUCCCGGGCCUUGUACACACCGCCCGUCACACCAUGGGAGUGGGUUGCACCAGAAGUAGAUAGCUUAACCGCGAGGGGGGCGUUUACCACGGUGUGAUUCAUGACUGGGGUGAAGUCGUAACAAGGUAACCA
Molecule: ribosomal RNA, 724 nt
Filed under: uncultured Enterobacteriaceae bacterium
Lineage: Bacteria; Pseudomonadati; Pseudomonadota; Gammaproteobacteria; Enterobacterales; Enterobacteriaceae
Description: bacterial SSU rRNA
Rfam family: Bacterial small subunit ribosomal RNA
Source: RNAcentral